CCUACGGGUGGCAGCAGUGAGGAAUAUUGGUCAAUGGACGAGAGUCUGAACCAGCCAAGUAGCGUGAAGGAUGACUGCCCUAUGGGUUGUAAACUUCUUUUAUAAAGGAAUAAAACGAGGCACGUGUGCCUUUUUGCAUGUACUUUAUGAAUAAGGAUCGGCUAACUCCGUGCCAGCAGCCGCGGUAAUACGGAGGAUCCGAGCGUUAUCCGGAUUUAUUGGGUUUAAAGGGAGCGUAGAUGGGUUGUUAAGUCAGUUGUGAAAGUUUGCGGCUCAACCGUCAAAUUGCAAUUGAUACUGGCAGUCGUGAGUACAGUUGAGGUAGGCGGAAUUCGUGGUGUAGCGGUGAAAUGCUUAGAUAUCACGAAGAACCCCGAUUGCGAAGGCAGCUUACUAAACUGUGACUGACAUUGAUGCUCGAAAGUGUGGGUAUCAAACAGGAUUAGAUACCCCUGUAGUC
Molecule: ribosomal RNA, 460 nt
Filed under: uncultured bacterium
Lineage: Bacteria
Description: partial 16S ribosomal RNA
Rfam family: Bacterial small subunit ribosomal RNA
Source: RNAcentral